Molecule: long non-coding RNA, 259 nt
Organism: Pecten maximus
Lineage: Eukaryota; Metazoa; Mollusca; Bivalvia; Pectinida; Pectinidae
Exons: 2
Source: RefSeq, a predicted model, not a curated record
AGGUCUGAUUUCAUUGGUGCCUUGAUUAUUGAUUAUGACAAUCGGAUACCGCCAAACUUUGAAAACAAUAAUUGUACAGAAGUUGAUGUCAGCUUAUAUAUCAACAGUAUUGACUCAAUCAGCGAACGCUCCAUGGUAAGUUAGCGGCAGAUGUUUACCUGAUCCCUUCAUUUUUAUGUAAAGUAAGAUAUAUAUGUUAGUGCUGGGUGUCUACUUGACCCAAUCAUUGGUAGGUAAAGUAAGCGAAAGAUGCCUAUCU